This 529-nucleotide ribosomal RNA is filed under the name uncultured Methanofollis sp. Its description in RNAcentral is "bacterial SSU rRNA". It matches the Rfam family "Archaeal small subunit ribosomal RNA", at positions 261 to 804 of the family's 1478-position model. The record is from RNAcentral. Lineage: Archaea; Methanobacteriati; Methanobacteriota; Methanomicrobia; Methanomicrobiales; Methanomicrobiaceae.
CUAUCGGUACGGGUUGUGGGAGCAAGAGCCCGGAGAUGGAUUCUGAGACACGAAUCCAGGCCCUACGGGGCGCAGCAGGCGCGAAAACUUUACAAUGCAGGCAACUGUGAUAAGGGAACCCCGAGUGCCCGUAUGGACGGGCUGUUCAGGUGCUUAAAAACCACCUGGAGAAAGGGCCGGGCAAGACCGGUGCCAGCCGCCGCGGUAAUACCGGCGGCUCGAGUGGUGGCCACUAUUACUGGGCUUAAAGCGUCCGUAGCUUGGUCGUUAAGCCUCUGGGGAAAUCUUCCGGCUUAACCGGAAGGCGUCUCAGGGGAACUGGCGACCUAGGGAUCGGGAGAGGUGAGAGGUACUCUGGGGGUAGGAGUGAAAUCCUGUAAUCCUCAGGGGACCACCUGUGGCGAAGGCGUCUCACCAGAACGACUCCGACAGUGAGGGACGAAAGCUGGGGGAGCAAACCGGAUUAGAUACCCGGGUAGUCCCAGCCGUAAACAAUGCGCGUUAGGUGAGUAUUGGGAAUUCCUGCAGC